This 355-nucleotide ribosomal RNA is filed under the name Photobacterium sp. a185. RNAcentral describes it as "bacterial LSU rRNA". It matches the Rfam family "Bacterial large subunit ribosomal RNA", at positions 1 to 411 of the family's 2925-position model. The record is from RNAcentral. Lineage: Bacteria; Pseudomonadati; Pseudomonadota; Gammaproteobacteria; Vibrionales; Vibrionaceae. RNAcentral also lists the same sequence under 1 other name.
GGUUAAGUGACUAAGCGUACACGGUGGAUGCCUUGGCAGUCAGAGGCGAUGAAGGACGUAUUAACUUGCGAUAAGCCCAGUUUAGAUAGUAAAAAUCACUUGAGACUGGGAUUUCCGAAUGGGGAAACCCACGUGCAUAAGCACGUAUCGUUACGUGAAUACAUAGCGUAACGAGGCGAACUCGGGGAACUGAAACAUCUAAGUACCCGAAGGAAGAGAAAUCAACCGAGAUUCCGAGAGUAGCGGCGAGCGAAAUCGGAUUAGCCCUUAAGCUAGUCUUGCGUUAGGUGAAUGUGCUGGAAAGCACAGCGAYACAGGGUGAUAGCCCGGAAACCGACAACGCAUUACCAGUGAA